GAUGAACGCUGGCGGCGUGCCUAAUACAUGCAAGUCGAGCGAACAGACGAGGAGCUUGCUUCUCUGACGUUAGCGGCGGACGGGUGAGUAACACGUGGAUAACCUACCUAUAAGACUGGGAUAACUUCGGGAAACCGGAGCUAAUACCGGAUAAUAUAUUGAACCGCAUGGUUCAAUAGUGAAAGACGGUUUUGCUGUCACUUAUAGAUGGAUCCGCGCUGUAUUAGCUAGUUGGUAAGGUAACGGCUUACCAAGGCAACGAUGCGUAGCCGACCUGAGAGGGUGAUCGGCCACACUGGAACUGAGACAGGGUCCAGACUCCUACGGGAGGCAGCAGUAGGGAAUCGGCCGCAAUGGGCGAAAGCUUGACGGAGCAACGCCGCGUGAGUGAUGAAGGUCUUCGGAUCGUAAAACUCUGUUAUUAGGGAAGAACAGAUGUGGAAGUAACUGUGCACGUCUUGACGGUACCUAAUCAGAAAGCCACGGCUAACUACGUG
Molecule: ribosomal RNA, 497 nt
Filed under: uncultured bacterium
Lineage: Bacteria
Description: partial 16S ribosomal RNA
Rfam family: Bacterial small subunit ribosomal RNA
Source: RNAcentral